GCAAUUAAAUGCCACCAAAAAACACGCAGAUAACUUUGAGAAGGCCAAGUAAAGCGCAUAAACAAACUUACACUAUAGUUCAAAUCAUAAAAAGUCUAGACUUCAGUAUGUGUCUGGGACAGGCGACAAAAUCACUACCAAAAAAAGGUUGCAGCCAGAAACAUGAUCUUAAUAGAUAGAGGUUGCUUCACUUAAAGCACUUGGCAUCCAAAAGGGCCUCCCCCUCAAAUGGCUCACAAUCUUCGAUCAUCUGACUGGCACGCUCCUUUUGAGCUUCAUCUGAGAUGUCAACCUUUGUCCAUUCAUACAGCUCCAUGUCAUAGCACUCGUCAAUGACAAAUUGGGGGAUUUCUUGCCCACGGAAAAGCCACAGCCCCUUGACCUUGAAUGGAGGCUCUGAGCCGAUCACUAGCA
Molecule: long non-coding RNA, 414 nt
Filed under: Populus trichocarpa (black cottonwood)
Lineage: Eukaryota; Viridiplantae; Streptophyta; Magnoliopsida; Malpighiales; Salicaceae
Description: long non-coding RNA (PTRI_LNC001350)
Source: RNAcentral